This 497-nucleotide ribosomal RNA is filed under the name uncultured bacterium. Its description in RNAcentral is "partial 16S ribosomal RNA". It matches the Rfam family "Bacterial small subunit ribosomal RNA", at positions 28 to 507 of the family's 1533-position model. The record is from RNAcentral.
GAUGAACGCUGGCGGCGUGCCUAAUACAUGCAAGUCGAGCGAACGGACGAGAAGCUUGCUUCUCUGAUGUUAGCGGCGGACGGGUGAGUAACACGUGGAUAACCUACCUAUAAGACUGGGAUAACUUCGGGAAACCGGAGCUAAUACCGGAUAAUAUUUUGAACCGCAUGGUUCAAAAGUAAAAGACGGUCUUGCUGUCACUUAUAGAUGGAUCCGCGCUGCAUUAGCUAGUUGGUAAGGUAACGGCUUACCAAGGCAACGAUGCAUAGCCGACCUGAGAGGGUGAUCGGCCACACUGGAACUGAGACACGGUCCAGACGCCUACGGGAGGCAGCAGUAGGGAAUCUUCCGCAAUGGGCGAAAGCCUGACGGAGCAACGCCGCGUGAGUGAUGAAGGUCUUCGGAUCGUAAAGCUCUGUUAUUAGGGAAGAACAUAUGUGUAAGUAACUGUGCACAUCUUGACGGUACCUAAUCAGAAAGCCACGGCUAACUACGUG